AUAAAUUUUUGGAUGGUGAUCAUCGCAGUCUAGUUUGACAAGUAAUAAUCCAUUUGAAUGCGAAGUCAAUAAAGACUUCAACAUUCCAAAAACUUAUAAAAGGUAUCGGAAAAAAAGGAGAGCUCCGCAACCACCUUCACCAUUGCAAAACGAUUAUGAUUUGGAUAAAGAAACUGAUGUUUCAAUCAAUAAUGAUGGAGGAGUUGAUAUUAAAUCACUUGCUAAUGAAAUAGAACUGUUUGUUAAUGAGAGAUCCGAAUCUCCAAUCAAUUACGAUGCAAAAAAAGAAAAAAAAAAUAAUCUGGUUAAACAAAACAUAGAAAAUCGAUCAUUGGCUCUUCUAGAAUCUGAUACCGUUGUUAACUCGAGCGCGCCUGGGUUUGUUGGAAAUACAUUAACAGCUUAUAUUAAGAACCAGCCCAAGACAGUUCAUCCAUAUGGAACUUUGAAUUGUACUGAAGAUAUUAAAGAAAAUGAUUUAGCUACAAAAGAUUUGGAUGUUCAAACUACCCAAUACUCAAAUAAAACUAAAAAAAAUGAAAAUGAAUUUGAAGAUAAUCCUAAUCCAAAUAUUAUUACCAAAUUACACCAGCUACAUGACCACCCUAUGUCAAAAACUAUUAAUAGAAUAGAUAAUUAUUACAAAUCGAACACUUGCAAACCAAAUCACACUUCUAUGAGUUCAGAAGAAACCUACAACCUUCAAAAUUUACUGAAAAAGUUUGAGUCUAAUGAACCUGUAUCAUAUUCUAAAAACGAUUUUUAUGAUAUUAGUCAGACUCCAACCUUAAA
This is a long non-coding RNA of Drosophila obscura, 792 nucleotides long. RefSeq lists it as uncharacterized. Lineage: Eukaryota; Metazoa; Arthropoda; Insecta; Diptera; Drosophilidae. The transcript is spliced from 3 exons. The record is from RefSeq and is a predicted model, not a curated record.